UAGAAUUGACGGGGCCCGCACAAGCGGCGGAGCAUGCGGAUUAAUUCGAUGCAACGCGAAGAACCUUACCAAGGCUUGACAUACACCGGUAACGCCCAGAGAUGGGUGCCCCUUUGUGGUCGGUGGACAGGUGGUGCAUGGUUGUCGUCAGCUCGUGUCGUGAGAUGUUGGGUUAAGUCCCGCAACGAGCGCAACCCUCGUCCUAUGUUGCCAGCGGGUCAUGCCGGGGACUCAUGGGAGACUGCCGGGGUCAACUCGGAGGAAGGUGGGGAUGACGUCAAAUCAUCAUGCCCCUUAUGUCUUGGGCUUCACGCAUGCUACAAUGGCCGGUACAAAGGGCUGCGAUACCGCGAGGUGGAGCGAAUCCCAGAAAGCCGGUCUCAGUUCGGAUUGGGGUCUGCAACUCGACCCCAUGAAGUCGGAGUCGCUAGUAAUCGCAGAUCAGCAACGCUGCGGUGAAUACGUUCCCGGGCCUU
Molecule: ribosomal RNA, 476 nt
Filed under: uncultured Curtobacterium sp.
Lineage: Bacteria; Bacillati; Actinomycetota; Actinomycetes; Micrococcales; Microbacteriaceae
Description: bacterial SSU rRNA
Rfam family: Bacterial small subunit ribosomal RNA
Source: RNAcentral